UAUUAAGGCCCAAGUACCCCAAAGGCACCAGAACCCAUCUGAUCUUGGAUGCUAAGCAGGAGAGCCCAGGUUAGUACUUAGGUAGGAGACAACUAGUGAAUACCAGCUGCUGUAGGCU
RNAcentral lists this ribosomal RNA (118 nucleotides) under Anolis carolinensis (green anole). Lineage: Eukaryota; Metazoa; Chordata; Lepidosauria; Squamata; Anolidae. The record is from RNAcentral.